Non-coding RNA from Meleagris gallopavo (turkey), 734 nucleotides. The record is from RefSeq and is a predicted model, not a curated record. Lineage: Eukaryota; Metazoa; Chordata; Aves; Galliformes; Phasianidae.
UUUCACUUCCUCUCUCCGUUCCCCUCCCAUACAACUCCUGCCUCCCAGAUGUUCUCUACGAUUAUACGGAUAUCUCCGCAGUUCCUCCCCUGCAGUGUUACGGCGGUAAAAGCUCCGCACUCCCCGCACUAAUCCAACAGUUCCCCCCCGCUCCGUUCCCGCACUUGGUACGGUCCGAACUGCCUCGCACGAAAGGGCAGCAACGCACAGAGUCCGGUGUCUCGCUCUGAUUGGCCCGCCCGCGCGGAGCUCAGCCUAUCAGAAAUGCCCUCGCUUUCCCUCUUGCUUUUGAUUGGUUGUCACCACCCUCACGUCCCACCUUCACACGUUUGACAGACAGCAAAGCGUGAGGCGGAGGGGUAGAGCAGGUGGCUUCACUUUUCCGCGCUUCUGAUUGGUCGCCGAGGCGGGCAAGAGGUCAAUAGAAGGUGGUGCUCACUGAGGGGGCGGGGCUAACUAUCGUCCCGCCCACCGCGCUGAGGAGAGGGCGGGGGGUGGAAAAAGGCGGGAAGGGCGGCUGGGAGUUUCUGUGUGGCUCUGAGGAAAAUUGGCUUUUUUCCUCCGUUUUCUGAGGGAAAAAAUGGGUCGUCACGAGCUCCUGCACCCAACGGAUGGCAUCAAUCAGGGCCCUUUGGAUCCUUAUGAGAUUUAAGUGUCUGAAAGCAGAUUUUAUCCCUUUGGAAGCACAGAUCUCAGCUCCGCCUUCACAGCACUUUGGAUCCUUUCACUUUUUG